UCCCUAUGGGGUGCAGCAGGCGCGAAAACUUUACAAUGCUGGCAACAGCGAUAAGGGAACCUCGAGUGCCAGGUUACAAAUCUGGCUGUCGAGAUGCCUAAAAAGCAUUUCAUAGCAAGGGCCGGGCAAGACCGGUGCCAGCCGCCGCGGUAAUUCA
This 157-nucleotide ribosomal RNA is filed under the name uncultured Methanosaeta sp. Its description in RNAcentral is "partial 16S ribosomal RNA". It matches the Rfam family "Archaeal small subunit ribosomal RNA", at positions 319 to 477 of the family's 1478-position model. Lineage: Archaea; Methanobacteriati; Methanobacteriota; Methanomicrobia; Methanotrichales; Methanotrichaceae. The record is from RNAcentral.